AACGAACGCUGGCGGCAUGCCUAACACAUGCAAGUCGAACGAGAUCUUCGGGUCUAGUGGCGCACGGGUGCGUAACGCGUGGGAAUCUGCCCUUUGGUUCGGAAUAACAGUUGGAAACGACUGCUAAUACCGGAUGAUGACGAAAGUCCAAAGAUUUAUCGCCAGAGGAUGAGCCCGCGUAGGAUUAGCUAGUUGGUGUGGUAAAGGCGCACCAAGGCGACGAUCCUUAGCUGGUCUGAGAGGAUGAUCAGCCACACUGGGACUGAGACACGGCCCAGACUCCUACGGGAGGCAGCAGUGGGGAAUAUUGGACUAUGGGCAAAAGCCUGAUCCAGCAAUGCCGCGUGAGUGAUGAAGGCCUUAGGGUUGUAAAGCUCUUUUACCCGGGAUGAUAAUGACAGUACCGGGAGAAUAAGCUCCGGCUAACUCCGUGCCAGCCGCCGCAGUAA
RNAcentral lists this ribosomal RNA (449 nucleotides) under uncultured bacterium. RNAcentral describes it as "partial 16S ribosomal RNA". It matches the Rfam family "Bacterial small subunit ribosomal RNA", at positions 29 to 523 of the family's 1533-position model. The record is from RNAcentral.